UACGGAGGGUGCAAGCGUUAUCCGGAUUCACUGGGUUUAAAGGGUGCGUAGGUGGGCUGAUAAGUCAGCGGUGAAAUCUCCGGGCUUAACCUGGAAACUGCCAUUGAUACUAUCGGUCUUGAAUCUCGCGUAGGUAAGCGGAAUAUGUCAUGUAGCGGUGAAAUGCUUAGAUAUGACAUAGAACACCAAUUGCGAAGGCAGCUUACUUCACGAGUAUUGACACUGAGGCACGAAAGCGUGGGGAGCAAACAGG
This 253-nucleotide ribosomal RNA is filed under the name uncultured bacterium. RNAcentral describes it as "partial 16S ribosomal RNA". It matches the Rfam family "Bacterial small subunit ribosomal RNA", at positions 524 to 776 of the family's 1533-position model. The record is from RNAcentral.